Molecule: ribosomal RNA, 484 nt
Filed under: Natrialba sp. AC10
Lineage: Archaea; Methanobacteriati; Methanobacteriota; Halobacteria; Halobacteriales; Natrialbaceae
Description: bacterial SSU rRNA
Rfam family: Archaeal small subunit ribosomal RNA
Source: RNAcentral
GUCCUCGCUUUUCUCACCGUAGGGAGGUUGAGGAACAAGUGCUGGGCAAGACCGGUGCCAGCCGCCGCGGUAAUACCGGCAGCACAAGUGAUGACCGCUGUUAUUGGGCCUAAAGCGUCCGUAGCUGGCCAGACAAGUUCAUCGGGAAAUCUGCGCGCCUAACGCGCAGGCGUCCGGUGGAAACUGCCUGGCUUGGGACCGGAAAACCAGAGGGGUACGUCUGGGGUAGGAGUGAAAUCCCGUAAUCCUGGACGGACCACCGGUGGCGAAAGCGCCUCUGGAAAACGGAUCCAACGGUGAGGGACGAAAGCUCGGGUCACGAACCGGAUUAAAUACCCGGGUAGUCCGAGCUGUAAACAAUGUCUGCUAGGUGUGACACAGGCUACAAGCCUGUGUUGUGCCGUAGGGAAGCCGUGAAGCAAACCGCCUGGGAAGUACGUCCCCAAGGAUGAAACUUAAAGGAAUUGGCGGGGGAGCACAAAAA